CCCUUAGAUGUUCUGGGCAGCGCGCGCGCUACAAUGGUCUUCGCAAACGGAUGCAUUCUCGAAGGAGAAUGCCAAUCUUGGAAUCUAUGCCUUGGUCGGGACAGUUGCUUGCAAUUUUUCGACUCGAACCAGGAAUUCCUUGUAAUCGUGAUUCAUCACAUCACGAUGAAUACGUCCCUGCCCUUUGUACACACCGCCCGUCGCUCCUACCGAUCGAAGAGUUAGGUGAAUUGUUUUGAUCGAUAAGAUUUGACUAUGGUCAACUCUCGUUGGGAAAUUCUGUGAAUCUGACUGUUUAGAGGAAGGAAAAGUCGUAACA
This 319-nucleotide ribosomal RNA is filed under the name uncultured eukaryote. RNAcentral describes it as "partial 18S ribosomal RNA". It matches the Rfam family "Eukaryotic small subunit ribosomal RNA", at positions 1470 to 1796 of the family's 1831-position model. The record is from RNAcentral.